UGUAUUUCGAUUCGGAUCAAUUCGGCAAUAAUCGGACGCGAUCGGCUUGAAUGCAAGCGUGAGCCGAUCAUUGCCGAAUCGAUCCGAAGCUGGAUCGCUGAAGAGCUCGAACAUUUUCAACUCGUCUUGAAUCAGUUUCAGGAUCUCUGCGAACCAAUCGACGCCGAGUUUUUUCGCGGCGCGAUUUAAAAAUAAGUAUCACGCGAUAUUUCGAGGCCGAGAGAUCUUAUUUAGAGCAUGUUAGAGUUAGCCUAGAAAACGUAAAAUAUUUGUGCUAAAACGUCGUAAUGCGCGUUGUCGUGAAGGUAAACGAACAUUCGUGGGGAAAAGAAGAAAAGAGAAAAUUGGAAGCAUGAAUAUUGUAAUUCGAGAGCUAUUUUCUGAUACCAAUCGUAACUGCAUGCUCUGUGGCGCAGUUUCGUGAAGAAUAAACGUGCAUCGAUUUGGAAUACUGGGAAGGUGUAUAGGAAUUAACUGAUACGUUGAUAUUCAUUGUAUCGAAUUGCGCGUAGAAAUGAGGAUUUGAAAAGUGUUUAUUAAAACGUUUCUGAUAUCAUUGUAACUUUUUCUGAUUUUAUAUAGAAAAGUAAAGUACCAUUUUCUAUCUGCGUUGAAUUGGGAUACAUAGCUAUAAUCGAAGAAACGUACAUAUUAAAGUGAAACGAAAUAUAGGAUUAAAAUUUUAUUGAGCUAUUAUAAAAAAUAAAAGUUACGAUUUAUCAAAUUUCAUUACAUAAUAUUUCUAUUAAUUUUAUGAAUCCUUUUUUAAAAUUUAUUAGUAAUUUAGUAGUUUUAUAGUAAUUGAACUCACCGAAAUUUAAAAAGAAAGAAUCCAAAAAAAUAAUACAGUUGAGAAAUUUAAAUAAGUGAAAAAAGUGUAGAUUUCUCUUUUUAAUUGCCUGUUUAUUAAACCAUAGAUAGGCAUUUAUGGACUUUUCGUGCAACACGAAACGUUAAGUUUUUUUUUUCUCUUGUUCUUCUAUUUCCGACAUGGAUCGUAGAAAAUAAAUACGUGCAAUUCUUAAAACUGCAAUUCUAAAAUCUGUGCGAUACACAAUAUUGAGUUAUUUCAGGAACAUUAUUCCAAAAUCUUUUAAAGAAAAGAUAUACCAUUUUUUAGUCAAUUGAUAUUUUGAAACAAGUUAUUAGGUACUUGUUUAUAAAAUAAAUAUUUAAUUCAGAAAUUCUUAAUCCUUAAUUUGGGCCAAGAAAUUUUUGCACUUUAUUAUAGAGAAAAAAAUAAAUAUAUAUUCAAAAAUUUAAUAAUCUUAAUCAAUAUCACGAUAAUGAAUAAUUGAAAAAUUAAAACUGUGGAAUAUUCUCUUACUUUUGUUAUUAUUAUUAUUAUUAAUAAUAAUUUAUUUCAUCGGUUAUAUUUGUUUUUAUUCAAAAUAUCGUGUAAUUAUUUUCAAUCACGACGACAAAGGCAAUAAUAAAAACACGAGAAAAGAAAGAGACAAAUACACGAUAAAAUAUCAAUAAUUUUACACGCGUAAAUUCCAGCCACUUUCCGUAUGAAAAUUCAAAUAAUGAAUCGCGUCGUUGAAUUUUUCAUCAAGAAUAUCCAUACCAAUAUUUCACAGGAUUUCAUAUUUGCAUUUUUACAAAUUCCACGCCAGCAUGAUCAAGGGGGCGGAAAAACAAUCCAGUUAAAAGGAAUGUUUUUGUACGUACUGCGUGGGCUAAUUCAUGGUACGAGCGAGCACAAAAUAAGACGAAAAUCAAGAAUAACAAAUUUGUGUUGGAGGUUUUGUUUCUGGGAAAGAUGCAUUUGAAUGUCAGUCAAGUGCACGUGCACCUGGUUUAUUCCCAACAGGAUACGACCAGAUAAUUAGUAAAAGAUUAUUCUACAUGGGAAAUAAAGUGAGGGAACGAAUAAAGUAAAUCUAAAAUAAAAUUUUUCCACAUUUAAAGAAUUUGGAAUCUUAUAAAUUAAUAUGUCGAUAAUUGAUUGUUCGAUUGCUCGUGUAAAACCUAUAAUUAAACAUGACAUGUACAAUCAUAUUCCAAUUCAAUAACCAUUUAGAGAUUAUCCGAUUCAAUAUCUAAGUUCAUACGUACUUAAAAAAUUUUCAAAUUUAGUUUCUCGAAGCAAAGGAAAUUUCUUCAACGAAGAUUAGAUCUAAAAUUACAUUUACAUACUUUUUACAUUACACAUAAACGAAUUAUCAUUAUUCCAAAUUAUGCAUAAAUAUUUUUAUUUCCUAUUUUAACUAUUAUUAGAAUCUGACGAUAGCAGACCUGAUAUAUUCGUUGAUCUUAAGGAUUUAUCAAAGGCACGCGACAUGUGCAAACAGGUGUAAUUUACACCGAAAAGAAAAAUCCCCGUUCCGCUCUAUUAAAUUCUAUUCUCCGCGUGUCUCUCAUUAAACUCGUUAAAAUAUGUAACUUGGCUUUGGACAUGGCACGGUGGAUGACCAAUACGGGAAUGAGUUUCCAAUUAAUUCGGAAUUAAAAAACGGGAUCAGAACAAUGUGAAUUAUCAACUUAUCAAUUGAAUAUCGUUUGGUUUAAAAAAGCAUUAUGCAUUUCACGCUUCUGUCUUCAAUCAAUUUUGUAUUAUAUGCUACUAGAUUUAAAGAUUUUUAUACAUAUUUUUAUAUAUCAUUUUGUCAACAUAUUGGUGGGAUACUUGUGAAAGGUUAAGAGGAUAAAAUAAAUAUCCAUCGAAACUAAUUAAAAUGUAAAGAAAUUUGUUAGAUUUUUCUUACUCAGAUGUUUUCCAAUAAUUUGUAAUAUAGAAUAAUAUAAAGAAUUUAAUAAAUUUUGUAAAUGGAAGAAAUUAAGGAUAUCGGAUGAUUUUGUAUGAAUAUAUAAAAUGUUAUUUUAAAAAAAUAAUCUUUAAUCGAAAAUCCAUGUUUCCAAUUUAUUUUAAUACGAAUUACAAUGAUCAUUUUUAAAUAAUAAAAGGUUUCUUAUUACAGAAUAAUUUAAAUAUACUUUAUUACACAUCUUACAUAUCUUUCGCAUAAAAUAGUACAUUUUUCUGAAAUAUCUCUAUAUUAUAUUUCCAUAUUUUUAUUUAACAACUAAUCGCAGCUAAAAAAUUACUCUUGGAAGAUAUAAACAUACUUUUAAAAGCCAGCUUAGCACGAACAAGUUGUAAAGCCACGUUUAGUUUAUUCUAAGCUCACUUUAGCACGAAAUUCAUACAUUUUAUAUCAAUUUCGAUUUUCAUUUCCAAUUAUAAAUUCAACAACUGAUAAAAACCGCGUAUAUUAUAUCUCGACGACUUUCGUGUUUAUUAUUAUUUGAAUAUUAAAAGAAAGUCCAUGAUCCCCUUUUUUAAAUUCAUUCAGGCAAAGUUUCUCGCAAACGUAAAUAAACAGUGUUUCUGUUUACAGUUUUCAGACUUUCUUCGGGUUAAUUUGAAACUUCGUACAAUCUGCGAAAGCAAUCUCACAGGAUUAUUUUUUUUUCUUAUCUCUCGAAGGAUUGAUGAUUAAAAAUUUGACGUAAAAAUAUCUUCUUAAUAAAAAAUAUUAUUGAGCAAAUUUUACAAGAAAUGCAAAAGCUCGAAUUGAACUCGGAAUCGAUGUAAUAUAUAGCAAUAGUUUAUAUUUUUGUACAUUGAAGGGAAAUUUUGAAAUCUGUAUUCGAAAUAAUCGAUGAAACUUUGUUGGAAUUUAAAAAAAAAAAUCUAUGGAAUGAUAUAUUUAUCGUUGAAAUUAAAAUUGAAAUGGACGGAAUUAAUAUUCGAAAUAUUAGAAUUAUUUCAAUAACGCAUUUUUAUUAUUUUAAUGAAAUACAUAUUUUAAUUUUCUGCUGAUGAAUUAUACAAUUAAGAUUGAAAAUAUUUUAUCAAUUUGACAUUUGUAUCGUCUAAUUCUAUCCAUGUAUCUUUUAUUUAUAAUUCAAAAUGGUAUUUAGUAUAAAUAAUAACAUAAUAAGAUUAUGAAAAGGAUAAACAGUAAUAAAAUUUGAAAUUUUAUUCUUAUUAACAAUCUUUCAAAAUUUGAUUUUCUUAAUAAUUCCUACGUUCUUUUCUAUUUUAUGAAAAUAAAAUCAAAUUUUAUUUCCAUAAAAUCUACGAACAAUAAUUCAAAAUAUUUCAUAAAUUUAAUUACAAAAUAAACGAAAAAAAACAAAAAGAUAUUAAUUUUCUAAAUAAAAACUUAGUCAAUUUUAAAAUUUAUAAACUUUUUAUAUUUCAAAUUACUUCUUUUCGUAAUUCCGCAUAACUACGAUCCUCUUCAAUUUUGGCAAUGAAGGAAAACGAUAUCGCGAAAAAUAAUUCUCGCAUAAUUAAACCGACAAUCUCCCAAUAAUUCCCUUUUGAUCGUUCCACGAGCUAUCAAUCUUCCCAUUGUAAUUUCUCUGAGGAGAAAAUGUGGAGAACGAUAAAUAAACGGCAUCGAAACGAGAGGAAUCGUAUUUUCACGAUGCACGCGAUCGAAGGAGGAGAGGGUGUUUUGUCGGACACACGGUGUAUUCUCACGCAAGAGAUGAUUCGAUCCACACUGUUAAAAAAUAAAAAAAGUUCAUGGAUGGCCCAACGCGUUUAAUUUGCGACUUUUGCAUCCGUGAACAAUAAUAUGAAAAACUUUCGUUUCACACGUGAAAUCAUAAUCCUCCAUCGGGAGGAAACGGGUGAAUUUCGAACUUCGCCUAUGGAAAUUCAAAUUUCAAAUGAUAAUUCGCGCGUUCCUCUCAUAGCGCGCAUAACAUGAAUGAAAUUGGCGCCCACACGAGUGUGAAAUUGAUAAUCGCCAGUUUGCGUUGUGAAGUGUUUGAAAUAAUUUCGUGAAUUGAAGAUGGAUUUAAUUUCAUUCACUUUGAUAUUUAUGCUAUGAAUAUUGUCAAUUGUUGCUUCUCCAAAGAAACAAAAUUUGAGAUUUCAAAAUAGCAAAGGUAUUAUAGCAAUUUUUCAUUUUCUUAUACUGUACUGUUUCAUUACUAGAUACUAUGCUCUGUUUAUUAUUUACGUAUUACAAAGUGAGGUUAUGUUUGAAAUAAUUAAAAAAUAUACGUUUAAAAAUACUAAUUAGAAUAAAUAAGUGAAUAAUACUGUUUUUACUUUUCAAAAAAUUAUCUCACAUUUAUUUGUUUCUCGAUUAUAUCUCGUUCCAUCGUAAUAAUUUCGUUUAACGAAUUAUCAAGAUCAUACAAGUGCCGAUAAAGUUUUAUUGCGAUACUAUUUAUAGAGUCCGAUUCCAGGUUUGAUAAGUGUCUCGUCACUAUUGACUGACAAUGAAGCGAAAGCUCUUGGAAACACGGUUUUCUUUCACAGACACCUAACCUCUAUUUUGAAUUCACGAAUGCAAACGAGAUGCUCGCUCGUUUACUGACAAUUUGAGUCGGUCGUUAUCGACAGAGGAUGGAGGUAUUCGUCAAUCGCUCUACGACACACCGAUAUCUCGUCAAAACGAACAGUUAGUGACAAAGAGAUGAAUAGAUGGAUGGAGAGAUGCUUUGCACGAUUCGGUACGAUUUGACCAAUUGAACGCUAUUGAUAGUUUCAUUUGUACUUUGUAUUUUUUGUAUAUUAUCGAUCGUGCUAAAUCAUUAUUUUAAUAUUCUUACAUUUUUAUCUAUAUAUUUCUAUUUAGGGAUGUUUUAAAAUAUUGAAUAAAGUAACAUAAACAAUUAGCGAAGUUUAUUUGUUUCGAUAAUCGUGAAUACUAAAUUUCUUCUCUUUUGUUCAAGGAUAACUAUUGUUUUUUAUUCAUAUGUGAUUUUUAUUAGUUCAAAAUUUAUUUUUUUUUUUUUGAAGAAAGAGAUAAUAGAGCUACUCUCAUAUUUUGACCAAUUAUUUAUAUCAUUAUAAUAAUCAUAAAAAUUUUCACUUUGAAAAAAUUUUUCUUUUUUAAUAUAUCGAAUGUAUUAUAAAGACAUGUAUAUUAAUUCAAAUCUUAUUAACGUAAAUAUAAGAUAUUAACAUUAAAUUAUAUAAUUUUUGAAAAAUAAAUUAUAGAAUUUAUGUAUUUAAAUUAAAGAUUCAAAUGAGAAAUUCUAAAUUCUUCUACUUCGGUGUAGUCGUCAAUGGAGAGGAUUAAAAUUUCAAUUUUCGAUUUUCAACGAUUAAUCUUUCAGAAUUACUCAUUUGGAAGAAGUCUUUGAGCAUCUGUCAAUUAAGGCAUUCGUUUAUUCGAAAUCAAUCACACAAAGUAUUCAGGACAACAAUUUCCCGAUAACAAUUCUAUCGAAAUAGUUUGAAAUAACUUUUCGAGAAUUCGCUGUUUGAAUAUAAGCUUUUUAAACUCAAAAAGAAUUUAAAAUGAUUUAUAUAUCGUUCGAAGCAAAAUUAUCAUUAAUUUUUUUUAAUCAUUUUUGUAAUUUAUUAAUUAAAUUUUACAUUAAAUAAUGUACAAUAUUAAAAGAUAUAGAGAUCUUAUUGAAAUUUUCUCAUAUUUUAAAUUUUUAAAAAAAAUUUGUUAUAAUAUUUGUUUAUUCAAUAUUUGCAAGAUUUAUAAAAUAAAAACAUUAGAAUUUUAAUUAAAGUCACGAAUCAUUAAUAUUCGUGUAAUUUGAUUUAAACUUCGAAAGUAUAAAUUUAGUACUUGUAUAUUAUGGUGAUUCAACAUUGAUUUUCUUCAGUAUUCAAGAGUUAUGAUAAAAUAUAAAUAAGAAAAAUAUGUAAAAUUGCAUGUUAUUGCACGAAACAAAAAAUAAACACCAUAAUUUGAGGUAAAAAUUUAAAAGAUGUAAUUACAAAAUUACUUACCAUAUUUAUUCUUUCCUGUAAUUUGAUAUAAUUGUUAAUUCAUAUUAUAAUUGUAUUAAUCGUUUGAUAUUAAUGUAAAAUAUAUUCUUGAUGCUUUCGUUUUUAUUAUUCAUAUUGUGUUAAUAUCAAACACAGAUAUAUUAUUAUGAGCUUUUACAUUUACAUCAUAAAACAUAUAAUGUGAUCUUUCUACCUUUAUAAUUAUAGCUUGUAAAUAAUAUAAAGAACAUUAUAAGUUUUUCAAAAAUAUAAAAAGAGUUCUUUAUAAAAACUUUAUGAAAGCAGUCUUUAUAAAGUCAAAUCUCCAGUUUUCAAUCCCAUAUUUGUAUUGAAAAAAAAAAAAAGAAAGAAAAAAAAGAGAAAACAAAGAACAAUUUAUCAAAAAGUUACUUGGAACAUUCAAAAACUAUAAAAAUUUAGUACAAAGAA
This is a long non-coding RNA of Apis cerana (Asiatic honeybee), 7093 nucleotides long. RefSeq lists it as uncharacterized. Lineage: Eukaryota; Metazoa; Arthropoda; Insecta; Hymenoptera; Apidae. The record is from RefSeq and is a predicted model, not a curated record.